AGUGAACGCUGGCGGUAGGCCUAACACAUGCAAGUCGAACGGCAGCACAGUAAUAGCUUGCUCUUACGGGGUGCGAGUCGCGGGCGUGUCAGGAAUACAACGGAAUCUACUCUUUCGUGGGGGAUAAGGUAACGAAACUUACGCUAAUACAGCAUACGACCUACGGUUGAAAGCAGUGGAUCUUCGCAGCUUGCGCGGUUGGAUGCGCCGCUGUCGAAUUAGCUAGUUGGCGGGGUAAAGGCCCACCCAGGCGACGAUCCGUAGCUGGUCUGAGAGAAUGGUCAGCCACACGGGAGCUGAGACAGGGUCAAGACUACUACGGGAGGGAGCAGUGUGGAGUAUUAGGCAAUGGGGGCGAGCAUUAUACAGCCAUACCGCGUGGGUGAAGAAGGCGCUGGGGUCGGAAAGCCGUUUUGUUGGGAGAGAACCGCAGCAGGUUAAUACGCCGCUGUUCUGACGGUACCGGGAGAAGAAGCACCGGCUAACUACGUG
RNAcentral lists this ribosomal RNA (492 nucleotides) under uncultured bacterium. RNAcentral's name for it is "partial 16S ribosomal RNA". It matches the Rfam family "Bacterial small subunit ribosomal RNA", at positions 29 to 507 of the family's 1533-position model. The record is from RNAcentral.